AUUCACUAGUGAUUACUCCUACGGGAGGCAGCAGUGGGGAAUAUUGGACAAUGGGGGGAACCCUGAUCCAGCCAUGCCGCGUGUGUGAAGAAGGCCUUAUGGUUGUAAAGCACUUUAAGCGAGGAGGAGGCUACUGAGACUAAUACUCUUGGAUAGUGGACGUUACUCGCAGAAUAAGCACCGGCUAACUCUGUGCCAGCAGCCGCGGUAAUACAGAGGGUGCGAGCGUUAAUCGGAUUUACUGGGCGUAAAGCGUGCGUAGGCGGCUUUUUAAGUCGGAUGUGAAAUCCCCGAGCUUAACUUGGGAAUUGCAUUCGAUACUGGGAAGCUAGAGUAUGGGAGAGGAUGGUAGAAUUCCAGGUGUAGCGGUGAAAUGCGUAGAGAUCUGGAGGAAUACCGAUGGCGAAGGCAGCCAUCUGGCCUAAUACUGACGCUGAGGUACGAAAGCAUGGGGAGCAAACAGGAUUAGAUACCCUGGUAGUCCAUGCCGUAAACGAUGUCUACUAGCCGUUGGGGCCUUUGAGGCUUUAGUGGCGCAGCUAACGCGAUAAGUAGACCGCCUGGGGAGUACGGUCGCAAGACUAAAACUCAAAUGAAUUGACGGGGGCCCGCACAAGCGGUGGAGCAUGUGGA
RNAcentral lists this ribosomal RNA (633 nucleotides) under uncultured bacterium. RNAcentral's name for it is "bacterial SSU rRNA". It matches the Rfam family "Bacterial small subunit ribosomal RNA", at positions 322 to 945 of the family's 1533-position model. The record is from RNAcentral.